RNAcentral lists this transfer RNA (77 nucleotides) under Treponema phagedenis. RNAcentral's name for it is "tRNA-Ala". It matches the Rfam family "tRNA". Rfam says of the family: Transfer RNA (tRNA) molecules are approximately 80 nucleotides in length. Their secondary structure includes four short double-helical elements and three loops (D, anti-codon, and T loops). The record is from RNAcentral. Lineage: Bacteria; Pseudomonadati; Spirochaetota; Spirochaetia; Treponematales; Treponemataceae. RNAcentral also lists the same sequence under 1 other name.
GGGGGUGUAGCUCAGUUGGCUAGAGCGCUUGCAUGGCAUGCAAGAGGUCAGGGGUUCAAUUCCCCUCACCUCCAUCA